Molecule: ribosomal RNA, 463 nt
Filed under: uncultured bacterium
Lineage: Bacteria
Description: partial 16S ribosomal RNA
Rfam family: Bacterial small subunit ribosomal RNA
Source: RNAcentral
GAUGAACGCUGGCGGCGUGCUUAACACAUGCAAGUCGAACGGAAAGGCCCAAGCUUGCUUGGGUACUCGAGUGGCGAACGGGUGAGUAACACGUGGGUGAUCUGCCCUGCACUUCGGGAUAAUCCUUGGAAACUUGGUCUACUACCGGAUAGGACCACUUCGUAGUCGUUGUGGUGGACAGUUUUUCCGGUGUGGGAUGAGCUCGCGGACUAUCAGCGUGUUGGUGGGGUAAUUGCCUACCAAGCCGUCCACGGGUCGCCGGCCUGAGAGGGUGUACGGCCACAUUGGGACUGAGAGCCGGAAAAGACUACUACGGGAGGCAGGAGCAGGGAAGAUUGCACAAUGGGGGGAAGACGGAGGAAGCGACGGGGCGUGGGAGAUGACGGACUUCGGGUUGUAGACUCCUUGCGACAAAGACGAAUUUAGGACGGUAUUUGGAGAAGAAGCACCGGCUAACUACGUG